AGGAGCCCUUGCUUCUUCAGGAACUCCCAGCAUCAUGCUUUCUCAUUUCAUGGAGUCUCUCAGCGUCCUGGGUUCCCUCCUGCUGCUUGGACUCCAGCUCGUCUGCCCACAGCCCUCCACUGAACACAGAAAGGUCCCGCAGCGGAUGGCGGCGGCCCAGGGCGUCCCCGAGGACGGCGGCGGCGGCGG
Molecule: long non-coding RNA, 189 nt
Organism: Ailuropoda melanoleuca (giant panda)
Lineage: Eukaryota; Metazoa; Chordata; Mammalia; Carnivora; Ursidae
Exons: 3
Source: RefSeq, a predicted model, not a curated record